Molecule: ribosomal RNA, 882 nt
Filed under: uncultured Megasphaera sp.
Lineage: Bacteria; Bacillati; Bacillota; Negativicutes; Veillonellales; Veillonellaceae
Description: bacterial SSU rRNA
Rfam family: Bacterial small subunit ribosomal RNA
Source: RNAcentral
AACGCUGGCGGCGUGCUUAACACAUGCAAGUCGAACGAGAGCGUAGAGAAAGCUUGCUUUUUCUACAAUCUAGUGGCAAACGGGUGAGUAACGCGUAAACAACCUGCCCUACGGAUGGGGACAACAGCUGGAAACGGCUGCUAAUACCGAAUACGUUCCGAAAGUCGCAUGACUGUCGGAAGAAAGGAUGGCCUCUAUUUAUAAGCUAUCGCCGGAGGAGGGGUUUGCGUCUGAUUAGCUAGUUGGAGGGGUAACGGCCCACCAAGGCGACGAUCAGUAGCCGGUCUGAGAGGAUGAACGGCCACAUUGGAACUGAGACACGGUCCAGACUCCUACGGGAGGCAGCAGUGGGGAAUCUUCCGCAAUGGGCGAAAGCCUGACGGAGCAACGCCGCGUGAGUGAAGACGGCCUUCGGGUUGUAAAGCUCUGUUAUACGGGACGAAUAGUCUUGUGGUUAAUACCCAUGAGAAGUGACGGUACCGUAAGAGAAAGCCACGGCUAACUACGUGCCAGCAGCCGCGGUAAUACGUAGGUGGCAAGCGUUGUCCGGAAUUAUUGGGCGUAAAGGGCGCGCAGGCGGCUUCUUAAGUCUGUCUUAAAAGUGCGGGGCUUAACCCCGUGAUGGGAUGGAAACUGGGAAGCUCAGAGUAUCGGAGAGGAAAGCGGAAUUCCUAGUGUAGCGGUGAAAUGCGUAGAUAUUAGGAGGAACACCAGUGGCGAAAGCGGCUUUCUGGACGAAAACUGACGCUGAGGCGCGAAAGCCAGGGGAGCGAACGGGAUUAGAUACCCCGGUAGUCCUGGCCGUAAACGAUGGGUACUAGGUGUAGGAGGUAUCGACCCCUUCUGUGCCGGAGUUAACGCAAUAAGUACCCCGCUGGGGAG